UCAGCAUUUGUUCGUCCAAAUAGAAUUCCAGGUGCAUAACCACCUACAAGCACAGGUACUUUGAAGAUGUUUCCACUUCCCUUCAAAGAUGUUCAAUGUCCCUGCACAGAAUGAGAGAUGCCACCUUCUCCAGCAUGAGACACAUCCCCACGUGAUCCCUUACCACCCAGACUCCUGGGCGAGUUGGGAAGAAAGAACAGAAGUCAACGCAUCCCAUUUAUUUUCAAGGCACACCCAAAACGCCCUUGUUGAAUUAGAACACUGCUGCUAAAAUCGAAAGCAUGAUUUUUAAAGCAAAGCAGAAGAACAGAAAAUGGCUGUCAUGGAGAAGAAAAAUAAGAGAGAAGUUCAAAAUAAAGUGAUGGGGAAAGGGUCAACUUCUGCAGCACAAUGGC
Molecule: long non-coding RNA, 395 nt
Filed under: Cercocebus atys (sooty mangabey)
Lineage: Eukaryota; Metazoa; Chordata; Mammalia; Primates; Cercopithecidae
Description: lncRNA (ENSCATG00000045577.1)
Source: RNAcentral